Molecule: ribosomal RNA, 497 nt
Filed under: uncultured bacterium
Lineage: Bacteria
Description: partial 16S ribosomal RNA
Rfam family: Bacterial small subunit ribosomal RNA
Source: RNAcentral
GAUGAACGCUGGCGGCGUGCCUAAUACAUGCAAGUCGAGCGAACGGACGAGAAGCUUGCUUCUCUGAUGUUAGCGGCGGACGGGUGAGUAACACGUGGAUAACCUACCUAUAAGACUGGGAUAACUUCGGGAAACCGGAGCUAAUACCGGAUAAUAUUUUGAACCGCAUGGUUCAAAAGUGAAAGACGGUCUUUCUGUCACUUAUAGAUGGAUCCGCGCUGCAUUAGCUAGUUGGUAAGGUAACGGCUUACCAAGGCAACGAUGCAUAGCCGACCUGAGAGGGUGAUCGGCCACGCUGGAACUGAGACACGGUCCAGACUCCUACGGGAGGCAGCAGUAGGGAAUCUUCCGCAAUGGGCGAAAGCCUGACGGAGCAACGCCGCGUGAGUGAUGAAGGUCUUCGGAUCGUAAAACUCUGUUAUUAGGGAAGAACAUAUGUGUAAGUAACUGUGCACAUCUUGACGGUACCUAAUCAGAAAGCCACGGCUAACUACGUG